This 541-nucleotide ribosomal RNA is filed under the name uncultured Geobacter sp. Its description in RNAcentral is "bacterial SSU rRNA". It matches the Rfam family "Bacterial small subunit ribosomal RNA", at positions 8 to 526 of the family's 1533-position model. The record is from RNAcentral. Lineage: Bacteria; Pseudomonadati; Thermodesulfobacteriota; Desulfuromonadia; Geobacterales; Geobacteraceae.
AGAGUUUGAUCCUGGCUCAGAACGAACGCUGGCGGCGUGCCUAACACAUGCAAGUCGAACGUGAUCCAGAGCUUGCUCUGGUGAAAGUGGCGCACGGGUGAGUAACGCGUGGAUAACCUACCCUGGUAUCCGGGAUAACAUUCCGAAAGGGGUGCUGAUACCGGAUAAGCCCACGGGCUCUUUGGAGCUUGCGGGAAAAGGUGGCCUCUAUUUAUAAGCUACUGUAUCAGGAUGGGUCCGCGUACCAUUAGCUAGUUGGCGGUGUAACGGACCACCAAGGCGACGAUGGUUAGCUGGUCUGAGAGGAUGAUCAGCCACACUGGAACUGAGACACGGUCCAGACUCCUACGGGAGGCAGCAGUGGGGAAUUUUGCGCAAUGGGGGAAACCCUGACGCAGCAACGCCGCGUGAGUGAUGGAGGCCUUUGGGUCGUAAAGCUCUGUCAGAGGGGAAGAAAUGAUAUAGUGCUAAUACCACUUUAUCUUGACGGUACCCUCAAAGGAAGCACCGGCUAACUCCGUGCCAGCAGCCGCGGUACUAC